GUGGGUAUGGCUCAGCUGGUUAGAGCGCCAGAUUGUGGUUCUGGAUGUCGUGGGUUCGAAUCCCACUAUCCACC
RNAcentral lists this transfer RNA (74 nucleotides) under Lachnospiraceae bacterium. RNAcentral's name for it is "tRNA-His". It matches the Rfam family "tRNA". Rfam says of the family: Transfer RNA (tRNA) molecules are approximately 80 nucleotides in length. Their secondary structure includes four short double-helical elements and three loops (D, anti-codon, and T loops). The record is from RNAcentral. Lineage: Bacteria; Bacillati; Bacillota; Clostridia; Lachnospirales; Lachnospiraceae.